RNAcentral lists this ribosomal RNA (433 nucleotides) under uncultured bacterium. RNAcentral describes it as "partial 16S ribosomal RNA". It matches the Rfam family "Bacterial small subunit ribosomal RNA", at positions 29 to 507 of the family's 1533-position model. The record is from RNAcentral.
AACGAACGCUGGCGGCAUGCCUAACACAUGCAAGUCGAACGAGACCUUCGGGUCUAGUUGCGCACGGGUGCGUAACGCGUGGGAACCUGCCCUUAGGUUCGGAAUAACUCCCCGAAAGGGGUGCUAAUACCGGAUAAUGUCUUCGGACCAAAGAUUUAUCGCCUUUGGAUGGGCCCGCGUUGGAUUAGCUAGUUGGUAGGGUAAAAGCCUACCAAGGCGACGAUCCAUAGCUGGUCUGAGAGGAUGAUCAGCCACACUGGGACUGAGACACGGCCCAGACUCCUACGGGAGGCAGCAGUGGGGAAUAUUGGACACUGGGCGAAAGCCUGAUCCAGCAAUGCCGCGUGAGUGAUGAAGGCCUUAGGGUUGUAAAGCUCUUUUACCCGGGAUGAUAAUGACAGUACCGGGAGAAUAAGCUCCGGCUAACUCCGUG